GCGUGAGUGAAGAAGGCCCUAGGGUUGUAAAGCUCUUUCAGCGGGGAAGAUGAUGACGGUACCCGCAGAAGAAGCCCCGGCUAACUCCGUGCCAGCAGCCGCGGUAAUACGGAGGGGGCUAGCGUUGCUCGGAAUUACUGGGCGUAAAGGGCGCGUAGGCGGACUUUUAAGUUACGUGUGAAAGCCCCGGGCUUAACCCGGGAAUUGCGCGUAAUACUGGGAGUCUUGAGUUCUGGAGAGGGUGGUGGAAUUCCCAGUGUAGAGGUGAAAUUCGU
This 275-nucleotide ribosomal RNA is filed under the name uncultured bacterium. RNAcentral describes it as "partial 16S ribosomal RNA". It matches the Rfam family "Bacterial small subunit ribosomal RNA", at positions 399 to 691 of the family's 1533-position model. The record is from RNAcentral.